GGCUCAAUAUAGUUGGCGACAAUACGCUCAUAUCAAGCAGCGAGGAAGUAGUCUUUUCGAAGCGCAAACCACUCGCUAAGCGUCUUGAAAGGUUCCAGGAUGUCAGGUCAUUUCGACCCAAACUAUGUCGAGCGGCGAGAACGCGAACGCCGAGAACGGGAAUGCUCGGGUUCUAACACGACUACGACCUUUUUCAACACUGGGGGAUACGCUCCACCUCCCCCACCGACACUCUACGAUGACUUCAGGCCUACCCCUCCUUCUUAUCCGAGCAAUGCCCCGCCGUACAUGGCCCCCAGUGCACCUCAGAUGCCAUACCCCGAGUCCUACAGGCCACCAGGCGGAUACUACGCGCCACCGCCGCAAUACGCGCCUCCGCCUCCCCCUUGCGGUUCUUAUGCUCCGCCACCCCCGCCAAUGUAGAAGUUCUCCCGUUCUUCACACCAAUUCAUCGAGUGGGCAUUUCCCGUUCUCUCGAGACCAUGUCGCGCUGCAACUGAACUGUCGGAGACGACCUCAGAAGAAGCUCCCUCCGCCGACGUUCCCCCCUCAGUUGGAGGGGGAGCGUCCGAGCUCUUAAGGGUCGCUCCUUCGAAGCUCGGACUCACCUUUGUGGGAGAAUAAACUAUCAGCGACUUUUACCAAGUUUCCUUUGCUGCGCUUAAAACA
Long non-coding RNA from Galendromus occidentalis (western predatory mite), 669 nucleotides. RefSeq annotates it as proline-rich antigen. The record is from RefSeq and is a predicted model, not a curated record. Lineage: Eukaryota; Metazoa; Arthropoda; Arachnida; Mesostigmata; Phytoseiidae. The transcript has 4 exons.